Molecule: non-coding RNA, 125 nt
Organism: Brachypodium distachyon (stiff brome)
Lineage: Eukaryota; Viridiplantae; Streptophyta; Magnoliopsida; Poales; Poaceae
Source: Rfam
CUAAUACUCCCUCCGUCCCAUAUUAAGUGACUCAAAUUUGCCCAAGUAUUGAUGUAUCUAUGCCUAAAAAGCGUCUAGAUACAUGUAUCAGAAAGUCACUUAAUAUGGAACGGAGGGAGUAUUUU